ACGGUACGGAGGCCGGACGACAGGUCCGCU
This 30-nucleotide small RNA is filed under the name Bombyx mori (domestic silkworm). RNAcentral describes it as "ovarian small RNA-11584". The record is from RNAcentral. Lineage: Eukaryota; Metazoa; Arthropoda; Insecta; Lepidoptera; Bombycidae.